AUGCGGCCUCUCUCCUUCCCUCCCCUCACGCUCUGGCGCCGCCCCUACUGCUCCGUCGGCCCGACGCAGCCCGAUCUCAUGCGAUCUCACAGCCGCCGUCGCCGAUCUCACAGCCGGAUCUCGUGCGAUCUCGCGCCACCAACGUACGGAGUCGCCUCCACGGUACGGGAUCACUGCCACCGACGUAAGAGGUCACGUUGCUACCACCACUGA
This 213-nucleotide ribosomal RNA is filed under the name Triticum aestivum (bread wheat). RNAcentral describes it as "partial small subunit ribosomal RNA". The record is from RNAcentral. Lineage: Eukaryota; Viridiplantae; Streptophyta; Magnoliopsida; Poales; Poaceae.